This 301-nucleotide ribosomal RNA is filed under the name uncultured bacterium. RNAcentral's name for it is "partial 16S ribosomal RNA". It matches the Rfam family "Bacterial small subunit ribosomal RNA", at positions 509 to 807 of the family's 1533-position model. The record is from RNAcentral.
CAGUAGCCGCGGUAAUACGAAGGGUGCAAGCGUUAAUCGGAUUUACUGGGCGUAAAGCGUGCGUAGGCGGCUUUUUAAGUCGGAUGUGAAAUCCCUGAGCUUAACUUAGGAAUUGCAUUCGAUACUGGGAAGCUAGAGUAUGGGAGAGGAUGGUAGAAUUCCAGGUGUAGCGGUGAAAUGCGUAGAGAUCUGGAGGAAUACCGAUGGCGAAGGCAGCCAUCUGGCCUAAUACUGACGCUGAGGUACGAAAGCAUGGGGAGCAAACAGGAUUAGAUACCCCGGUAGUCCCUGUCUCUUAUAC